Molecule: ribosomal RNA, 476 nt
Filed under: uncultured bacterium
Lineage: Bacteria
Description: bacterial SSU rRNA
Rfam family: Bacterial small subunit ribosomal RNA
Source: RNAcentral
CUGGCUCAGGAUUAACGCUGGCGGCAUGCCUAAUACAUGCAAGUCGAAUGGGGAGCUUGCUUCCCAUGGCGAACGGGUGAGUAAUACGUAGGUAACCUACCUUUAGGACGAGGAUAACCUUUUGGAAACGAAGGAUAAUACUGGAUAGUAUAGAUUUCCGCAUGGAGAUAUAUUUAAAGAUUUAUCACCUAGAGAGGGGCCUGCGGUGCAUUAGCUAGUUGGCGGGAUAAAGCCCACCAAGGCGAUGAUGCAUAGCCGGACUGAGAGGUUGUACGGCCACAAUGGAACUGAGAACGGUCCAUACUCCUACGGGAGGCAGCAGUAGGGAAUUUUCGGCAAUGGGCGGAAGCCUGACCGAGCCAAUGCCGCGUGAAUGAUGAAGUAUUUCGGUAUGUAAAGUUCUUUUAUCUAGGAAGAAAAAACAAAUUGACGGUACUAGAUGAAUAAGCUCCGGCUAACUACGUGCCAGCCGCGGC